Molecule: ribosomal RNA, 468 nt
Filed under: uncultured bacterium
Lineage: Bacteria
Description: partial 16S ribosomal RNA
Rfam family: Bacterial small subunit ribosomal RNA
Source: RNAcentral
GACGAACGCUGGCGGCGUGCUUAACACAUGCAAGUCGAACGGAAAGGCCCUGCUUUUGUGGGGUGCUCGAGUGGCGCACGGGUGAGUAACACGUGAGUAAACUGCCCUUGACUUUGGGAUAACUUCAGGAAACUGGGUCUAAUACCGGAUAGGAGCUCCUGCUGCAUGGUGGGGGUUGGAAAGUUUCGGCGGUUGGGGAUGUACACGCGGCUUAUCAGCGUGUUGGUGGGGUAGUGGCUUACCAAGGCUUUGACGGGUAGCCGGCCUGAGAGGGUGACCGGCCACAGUGGGACUGAGAAACGGCCCAGACUCCUACGGGAGGCAUCAGGGGGGAAUAUUGCACAAUGGGCGGAAGCCUGAUGCAGCAACGCCGCGUGCGGGAUGACGGCCGUCGGGUUGUAAACCGCUUUCGCCUGGGACGAAGCGUGAGUGACGGUAAUGGGUAAAGAAGCACCGGCUAACUACGUG